RNAcentral lists this long non-coding RNA (1802 nucleotides) under Rhinopithecus bieti (black snub-nosed monkey). Its description in RNAcentral is "lncRNA (ENSRBIG00000046432.1)". Lineage: Eukaryota; Metazoa; Chordata; Mammalia; Primates; Cercopithecidae. The record is from RNAcentral.
GCCCCCCAGGUCUCUCACCCAGAUCACCCUCUUCCUCAAAAGCUGAAUGAUGCCUUUUCCUGCACGUCAAGUAACGUCUAAAGGCUUUGUCAUUUUGCCUCUGGAAUCUAUGACCAGGUGUCUUCUUGCACCCAAACCUUGAUGUGAUUUUGCACAGACUGAACUUUCACCCUCUGUACAUCAACUGUGAGCCAAAAUGCUGCCUUGGCAGCGGCAGCGGCUGACAGAACCACUCUGAGAGGCCCGCCCAGGGAAGUGGGCCUCGACCACAGCCCUUAGGAAGACUGCUGAGCAAAACAAACUUUAAUUCUUAAAGACUUAAUUUUGUUUUAGGAGACACUUAGCAUCCCUGCCGCCCUCCGUCUCCACCUGGGAACAGCUUGCAACAAGUGUGGCCUCACUGCAAACCAGUGACAGACUUGGUGACAGAUUUGGUGACCAAAUAAUGUGCUGACUGAGGGCCCUUGGUCAAUGAUUGUCCCCAUGGCUGAAGAGCUGAGAGGCCCAUUUCCAUGGUCACCACAAAAGUCUUCAUGGAUAGUGUGGUGCCGACACACCUACAGGUGCUCUGAAGUUCAUUGUCUCUGUGGCCUAUAGCAGGAGAAGCUGAACCCCCUGGCUGAUAUCAUGGAGGGGACUUUGUACAUGUCCCUGAUCCCACUUUACCAGCCUUGCAAAACCAGUGCCUAUCUCAACGUCCACCUCACCUGACUUGGAAGUUUGAAGAACCUCUGUCCCCAAGCCUCUUCUGUGCCUUGCCCAGCACACAUGGGACAGACAACUCCAUUGCAGGAGCUGUCAGGAGUCUGUUACACAGCAGAGCUGAAGCCCCUGAAACUUCACCUGGGACACAGGAAAGGCUAUGUUCCUUGCUCAAUACUUUCAUCAUGGAGCUAUCAGAGGAGAGGCUGUCCAGGGGAGGAUGCACAUCCCCCAUGGAGACUGGAAGGAGUGCUGCUGUUUCCCCCAGCUGCUAUUGUGAGGUGCAUCCAUUACUUCCUGCAUAAAUCCACAUUAAGGGAGUUUUCAUUGGGUCUGUGCUUGGAGGUAAGUGGGCAGAAGAGGAACAGAUUAUUCAGGGCGUGAGAAGGCAGACUGAAGAGGCUGGGUAUCAGGGAGCCUGAGAGGACAAAGAGCCAAGAAAAGAGACAGGCAGAUGAGCAGGGCAAGGUGACAUACUUUUGUUGGAAAUGCCAUUGGCUGCCAAUGGAAGAGCAGACGAAAUGAAAGCCACCCCAAGCUUGCUUUAGAGCUCCACUUCUUUGGUUUGCAAAUGUAAAAAUUGCCCAACAGGAACUUGUCUCUAAAUUGGUGCUUGGUCCUGCUUGGUCCCCAGCCAUGAAAUAGGACCCACGAAGCAUGAGGAUAAUAUUCUUUCUCAGCCCAGCCAAGCUCACCCUGGGGUAGCAGGGAGGUCAAGGACCACGGGGAAGGCUUCAUCCUGUUGAGUUCACCUGCAAGGCAGCUGACCGGGCAAGGGCUUUAGGGACUCUGGGAAGCAUAAUCCUGUAAUUGGGUUGAUAGUUCAAGGACACAGGUGCAUCUUUUCUCCCCAAAGGAUUGAGUUUGGUUGGAGAGAUGCGGCAAAUCGGAAAAUGAGAUUUAUGCUUUGUUAGUAAGAUUAGUCAUUGUUCACCUGGGCAACAGGUCAUGAAGAUCAAAAACACAUGCUCCAGGGUGGAAGGGGGGAGUCCAGACUCCUCACCAUCGAUUACCAAUUAAUAUUGACAGAACUCUCACCGUGGGGUGGGAGGCAGGUGUAACCAGGGCUUUCUCUAAAAUAACACUUUAGUGAGGAAGGG